AUUGAACGCUGGCGGCAGGCCUAACACAUGCAAGUCGGGCGAGUGGCGGACGGGUGAGUAAUGUCUGGGGAUCUGCCUGAUGGCGGGGGAUAACUACUGGAAACGGUAGCUAAUACCGCAUACCAUCAGAUGAACCCAUAUGGGAUUAGCUUGUAGGUGUGGUAACGGCUCACCUAGGCGACGAUCCCUAGCUGGUCUGAGAGGAUGAUCAGCCAUCCUGGGACUGAGACACGGCCCAGACUCCUACGGGAGGCAGCAGGGGGGAAUAUUGCACAAGGGGCGCAAGCCUGAUGCAGCCAUGCCGCGUGUAUGAAGAAGGCCUUCGGGUUGUAAAGUACUUUCAGUCGGGAGGCGUUACCCACAGAAGAAGCACCGGCUAACUCCGUGCCAGCAGCCGCGGUAAUUC
This 406-nucleotide ribosomal RNA is filed under the name uncultured bacterium. Its description in RNAcentral is "partial 16S ribosomal RNA". It matches the Rfam family "Bacterial small subunit ribosomal RNA", at positions 30 to 526 of the family's 1533-position model. The record is from RNAcentral.